UUCUAUUCACGGAGGAGUACUUUUCAAUUUUCAGUUCUUCAAAAUAUUUACCUCUCUUCAUUUUCUUAUCAAUGUCCUACAAUUUCGGCGAUGAUUCUCUCCCAAUAUUCUCUCUGUCUUCUUUUUUUUCUUUGAUUUUUUCAAAUCUCUGAACAGUUUCCAAUUCGAGGCAUCAGGUUCGUCCAAGAAAAAAGCCCUAACAGUGCCAGUUCACCCUUUCCGAAAUUCACUCCGUUUUUUAUUUGAUUUAGGUAAGUUUUUAACUAAUAUAUUGAUAUUCUUUAUUAUUUUGAGUUAUGUGGACAAUAUAUAUAUAUACACACACACACACACACACACACACACACUAAGGCUUUGAAUAUAUUGGAUCCCCGCUGAUUUUUAUUAUUUCUAUUUUUGAGAAUUUUUUGCAAAUUCAAUUUUUCGGAUUCCCAGAUGCAUAUUUGUUUGUAUAGAUAUUGCUCACUCAUCCUAAAGUUUACCCCUUAUGUUCUUUCAAAUAUCGAAUUGCAUGUUGUUGCUUUGUAUAAUAUUUUCUUGGUUGUUCUGCUACGGUGACAUUAUUCUGUCUCAAGAGGGAAGAAAAAAUUAAAAUGUUAGUUUAGGCUGAAAAAGCUUUUUGUUGCUUUGAUAUGGUUUUCCUUUCUAUUUUUGGUGUCAUGGUUUAUUCAAAGUUCUCUUUUUAACUUUUCAUUUCUGCCUAAGAAGUAGAAAAUAGAGAAAAUUAAUACCAAAUGCAGUACAAAUGCAGAUUAUAAGUUCUCUUAUUCAGGAAGAAACUCAAGUAGAUCAAAAUACAUUUCAAAACACCUAUUAAUAAAAAUCAUACUGUUUUUUGGAAAUGAUCCCAUAGAGUAAAUUGUUGAUCCUGCAUCAAAUUCAAUAGUCAAAACUUUUCUCUAACUGUUGUUGGUGGUGUUGUUUUAGUGGUAGAUAAAUUCAUCCACUCCUACCUUUCUCACUUGUUUCUACUUUCAUUAAACGGACUUGCACUCAUACUUUCAGUUUGCAUUUUCAUCAGACAAAUUGAUGAUAAUAUGAAGGAAGAAUAAUUUUAUGUUUUCACAAUCUAUUAGUUUCUUCCGUUCCUUUUUUUUUUAUUACUAAUUCUCUUUGGGAAUCAUAAAAAUGAUCAAAUAAUUAAAAAAGUUCAUGCUGACAAAAGGUUUAGGCUGCGAGAAUUAUAUAGACUGAUCCCAAUUGUCAAAAAAGCCCCUUUAAUGCAACUAUGAAUAAAUAAAGUUGAAUUAAAAGACAUCGUCUGUGACAAUGCAAUUAUUGCAUAGUCGCAAUAACACUCCGCAUAGAUGAACAUAAUUAGCUGAAAUAGUAUGAGUGAUUGGAGUAUCCUAAUUCCUGGUUCAAUUAGAACUAAAGGAACAAACAGUAAGGAAGUUCCCAUGUAUCAACUUUCAACAUAUUUAUUAUGCAGUUCCUCUUUAUUCUUGAGUAGCAAAUUUGGUUUUAACACUUUUUACAUGUCAAAGGAUAAUUUGUAUCUCUCCAGGAGAACAUUCACGUAUGAUGGCUUUAAGCACUGGUUGCACGAUGUCGAAGCUAGCAAAGGAUAAUGUUAACAUUCUGUCUAAUAUCAUCACCUUUUCAUGUCAAAAUUAUGUUAUUUUGGCUUUUGCUUAAAUGUCAUAGUUAUUUUUUUAAAAAGGAUCAUCAUUAAAUUAAACGUUGCACAUAGAUAUCAAUAGUAACUUGAAACAGGUUUAUAUAUUGCAUGAAUUUUGCGCUUAUUACUCAUCUUUAUUUCUUAUAUGGUAGUUGCGCACUAAAAUGGUUAUCCUGCAUUUUGAUAUUACAAAUUCAGGAAGAAAGUUUAUCAAUAUAAAGUGUUAAAAAAGCUGCUUAAGCAUCUGCUAAUGGAUAACUGCAUAAUAAAUUGAUGCAUAAAUGUUAACCCAAUUAGAUGCACCCCUUUAAGGGAUUGGGUAAUCUAGAAUUCUUUACUUUAAUAUUCUAUCAAUUCUGCUAUAUAUUAAACUACUACAUGUUGUUGUACAAUAUACCCUCUAAUUGAUUUGGUGGCAAAAACUCCCUUUAUUGACUAAGUUUUGAGAUUUUCUUAAUUUUUUUAGAUGAAAUUAGUGGCCAGACCAAAGCAAUUUAAUAUUUAAUUCACAAUUUAUAGAGUUGAAGGGACAACAAUAACUAGCAGGUAAAAUGGUUGUGACUACUCCAAUCAAUUCGACUGGAUAGUUAGUUCACUUCAACCCCAACCCUCUUGUGAUGAUGAUGUAACACAUGAUAUUGCCGUAGUAAGUAGUAGUACCAUUGUCUAGGAAAGAAAUAAACUAUGAGAUGCUACACAUCAAUAUCGUUUACAGUAAUUUAGAAAAUAUUACAUGUAAAUGAAAUAUUGUGAAAUUUGAGAAAUCUCAUGAGUACGUUGUACUACGGGAAUAGGCCAUAAGAGGCUAACUUAUGAGAACUUCUGCUAUGCAUUUCUAAUAUAGAAGCUUAUAUCCUACACCAUAUAUUAGACAAUUGACCAGAAUGGAUCAUACAUUAUAUGCAAUUACUUCAUUGAAAAGGAUGUUAGGAAGACAUGAAAACUGAAGGCACAUACUGUGCAUAUAAUUGAUUGUUGCUACAUGUAUUUCUACAGAUACCUGAAAUAUGUUCUUCUCCCGGAUCUGAUAACGAGUAAUGGGAUAUCUGGCAUAAGUUUCUUAUUCAUUUGGGACUUGAAUAUUGGUGUUUUUCUCACACUUUUGUUUCUUUCUCCAGUAACAUUCAUCUUCC
This 2754-nucleotide long non-coding RNA is filed under the name Nicotiana tabacum (common tobacco). Its description in RNAcentral is "long non-coding RNA (NTAB_LNC008670)". The record is from RNAcentral. Lineage: Eukaryota; Viridiplantae; Streptophyta; Magnoliopsida; Solanales; Solanaceae.